RNAcentral lists this ribosomal RNA (1380 nucleotides) under uncultured bacterium. RNAcentral's name for it is "bacterial SSU rRNA". It matches the Rfam family "Bacterial small subunit ribosomal RNA", at positions 18 to 1394 of the family's 1533-position model. The record is from RNAcentral.
CCUGGCUCAGGAUGAACGCUAGCUACAGGCUUAACACAUGCAAGUCGAGGGGCAGCAUGGUCUUAGCUUGCUAAGGCCGAUGGCGACCGGCGCACGGGUGAGUAACACGUAUCCAACCUGCCGUCUACUCUUGGACAGCCUUCUGAAAGGAAGAUUAAUACAAGAUGGCAUCAUGAGUCCGCAUGUUUACAUGAUUAAAGGUAUUCCGGUAGACGAUGGGGAUGCGUUCCAUUAGAUAGUAGGCGGGGUAACGGCCCACCUAGUCUUCGAUGGAUAGGGGUUCUGAGAGGAAGGUCCCCCACAUUGGAACUGAGACACGGUCCAAACUCCUACGGGAGGCAGCAGUGAGGAAUAUUGGUCAAUGGGCGAGAGCCUGAACCAGCCAAGUAGCGUGAAGGAUGACUGCCCUAUGGGUUGUAAACUUCUUUUAUAAAGGAAUAAAGUCGGGUAUGGAUACCCGUUUGCAUGUACUUUAUGAAUAAGGAUCGGCUAACUCCGUGCCAGCAGCCGCGGUAAUACGGAGGAUCCGAGCGUUAUCCGGAUUUAUUGGGUUUAAAGGGAGCGUAGAUGGAUGUUUAAGUCAGUUGUGAAAGUUUGCGGCUCAACCGUAAAAUUGCAGUUGAUACUGGAUAUCUUGAGUGCAGUUGAGCAGGCGGAAUUCGUGGUGUAGCGGUGAAAUGCUUAGAUAUCACGAAGAACUCCGAUUGCGAAGGCAGCCUGCUAAGCUGCAACUGACAUUGAGGCUCGAAAGUGUGGGUAUCAAACAGGAUUAGAUACCCUGGUAGUCCACACGGUAAACGAUGAAUACUCGCUGUUUGCGAUAUACUGCAAGCGGCCAAGCGAAAGCGUUAAGUAUUCCACCUGGGGAGUACGCCGGCAACGGUGAAACUCAAAGGAAUUGACGGGGGCCCGCACAAGCGGAGGAACAUGUGGUUUAAUUCGAUGAUACGCGAGGAACCUUACCCGGGCUUAAAUUGCAGAUGAAUUACGGUGAAAGCCGUAAGCCGCAAGGCAUCUGUGAAGGUGCUGCAUGGUUGUCGUCAGCUCGUGCCGUGAGGUGUCGGCUUAAGUGCCAUAACGAGCGCAACCCUUGUUGUCAGUUACUAACAGGUUCCGCUGAGGACUCUGACAAGACUGCCAUCGUAAGAUGUGAGGAAGGUGGGGAUGACGUCAAAUCAGCACGGCCCUUACGUCCGGGGCUACACACGUGUUACAAUGGGGGGUACAGAGGGCCGCUACCACGCGAGUGGAUGCCAAUCCCCAAAACCUCUCUCAGUUCGGACUGGAGUCUGCAACCCGACUCCACGAAGCUGGAUUCGCUAGUAAUCGCGCAUCAGCCACGGCGCGGUGAAUACGUUCCCGGGCCUUGUACACACCGCC